GAUGAACGCUGGCGGCGUGCCUAAUACAUGCAAGUCGAGCGAACAGACGAGGAGCUUGCUCCUCUGACGUUAGCGGCGGACGGGUGAGUAACACGUGGAUAACCUACCUAUAAGACUGGGAUAACUUCGGGAAACCGGAGCUAAUACCGGAUAAUAUAUUGAACCGCAUGGUUCAAUAGUGAAAGACGGUUUUGCUGUCACUUAUAGAUGGAUCCGCGCCGCAUUAGCUAGUUGGUAAGGUAACAGCUUACCAAGGCAACGAUGCGUAGCCGACCUGAGAGGGUGAUCGGCCACACUGGAACUGAGACACGGUCCAGACUCCUACGGGAGGCAGCAGUAGGGAAUCUUCCGCAAUGGGCGAAAGCCUGACGGAGCAACGCCGCGUGAGUGAUGAAGGUCUUCGGAUCGUAAAACUCUGUUAUUAGGGAAGAACAAAUGUGUAAGUAACUAUGCACGUCUUGGCGGUACCUAAUCAGAAAGCCACGGCUAACUACGUG
Molecule: ribosomal RNA, 497 nt
Filed under: uncultured bacterium
Lineage: Bacteria
Description: partial 16S ribosomal RNA
Rfam family: Bacterial small subunit ribosomal RNA
Source: RNAcentral